Astatotilapia calliptera (eastern happy) is the source of this 1144-nucleotide long non-coding RNA. The record is from Ensembl. NCBI's taxonomy places the organism in Eukaryota, Metazoa, Chordata, Actinopteri, Cichliformes, Cichlidae.
CGGCCAAUACAGUAGAAUUAUGUCAAUUUUCAAAAAUUCCUUAAAAAUCAUCCUGAGUAGUUGAUGUACAACUUUCAACACAUCCCUCCUCUGGGACACCUACUGUACCUGUGUGCCAAGUUUCAUCCAAAUUUACUGUAGAAUUCCUCAGAAAUUAAAGGGUACUUGUAUUCAAUGCAGUCGGCCAAUACAGUAGAAUUAUGUCAAUUUUCAAAAAUUCAUUAAAAAUCAUCCUGAGAAGUUGAUGUACAACUUUCAACACAUCCCCCCUCUGGGACACCUACUGUACCUGUGUGCCAAGUUUCAGCCAGAUUUACUGUAGAAUCCUCAGAUAUUAAAGGGUACUUGUAUUAAAUUUCACCGUCAAAUUAAUAAAGCUUCUCUGGUUCUGAUUUUUCUGUAGAAUAUGUAUAUUUUGGGCAUAAAUAAAAUUACAUUGAGGUGCAGAAUAGCUUUCCAAAAGCUAAUUUUGAUAGUCUUUAAUUACUCAUUUUAAUGUCAGAUCCUUUAAUCUGAGUUGCACAGUGGCAUGGUGUUUAGCACUGUUGCCCCAUAGCAAGAAUGUUGUCAGUUCAAUUCCACCAUCAUGCUGUUUUCUUUCUGUCUGGAGUUUGCAUAUUCUCCACAUGUUUGCAUGUGUUCUCUCUGGGUACUCUGGCUUCCUCCCACUGUCCAAAGAUAUGUGUGGAAUUGAUUAAUCUAAGUUAUAGGUGUGAGUGCUAAUGGUUUUCUGUCCCUGUGUGUUUGCCCUGCGCCAGACUUGCGACCUGUCCAGGGUAUACCUCGCCUCUCGCCCUAUGACAGCGACCUCACGCAAGCCUUUAGAGGACAAACGCAAGUGAAUAGAUGGAUGUUUCAAUGUAGUUGUAUUUUAUUCUAUUCUACUUUGUAUAUUUCUGUACAGUAUUUUAUUCUUAUUGUAUUCCAAUUUUGGUAUAUAACUUUUUCACUGUCCACUUCCUGCUGUGACAAAACAAUUUUCCCACGUGUUGGAAUAAUAAAGGUUAUCAUAUCUUAUCUCUUUUUUCUCAUUGUUUUCUGUUUUUAAUGUUGGUUGAUUUUACACUGUAAUACUAAAAUGUACAGCAUUGCUGAGUAUCAAAAUAUUUUAGUUUUACUCACAUUUUUCAACAUUUAGCUUUCU